RNAcentral lists this ribosomal RNA (442 nucleotides) under uncultured bacterium. Its description in RNAcentral is "partial 16S ribosomal RNA". It matches the Rfam family "Bacterial small subunit ribosomal RNA", at positions 338 to 795 of the family's 1533-position model. The record is from RNAcentral.
CCUACGGGGGGCUGCAGUGGGGAAUAUUGGGCAAUGGAGGCAACUCUGACCCAGCAACGCCGCGUGAAUGAUGAAGGUCUUCGGAGUGUAAAGUGCUGUGAGGGGGGAGGAACACAAGGACGGUACCCCAAGAGCAAGCCACGGCAAACUACGGGCCAGCAGCGGCGGGAAUACGUAGGGGGAAAGCGUGAGCGGGAAGGACGGGGCGUAAAGGGGGCGGAGGUGGUUAGUAAGUGGGCGGUGUAAUUCCGGGGCGCAACCUCGGCGCUACCGCCAAAACUCUUAGCCUAGAGUGCAGGAGCGGUACGUGGACUUCCUCGUGUAGCGGUGGAAUGCGUAGAUAUUAGGAGGCACCUCAGUGGCGAAGGCGACUUACUGGACUGUACCUGACACUGAGGCACGAAAGCGUGGGGAGCAAACAGGAUUAGAUACCCGGGUAGUC